This 730-nucleotide ribosomal RNA is filed under the name uncultured bacterium. RNAcentral describes it as "bacterial SSU rRNA". It matches the Rfam family "Bacterial small subunit ribosomal RNA", at positions 789 to 1515 of the family's 1533-position model. The record is from RNAcentral.
GGUAGUCCACGCCGUAAACGUUGGGAACUAGAUGUGGGGACCAUUCCACGGUCUCCGUGUCGUAGCUAACGCAUUAAGUUCCCCGCCUGGGGAGUACGGCCGCAAGGCUAAAACUCAAAGGAAUUGACGGGGGCCCGCACAAGCGGCGGAGCAUGCGGAUUAAUUCGAUGCAACGCGAAGAACCUUACCAAGGCUUGACAUAUACGAGAACGCACUGGAGACAGUGAACUCUUUGGACACUCGUAAACAGGUGGUGCAUGGUUGUCGUCAGCUCGUGUCGUGAGAUGUUGGGUUAAGUCCCGCAACGAGCGCAACCCUCGUCCUAUGUUGCCAGCACGUAAUGGUGGGAACUCAUGGGAUACUGCCGGGGUCAACUCGGAGGAAGGUGGGGAUGAGGUCAAAUCAUCAUGCCCCUUAUGUCUUGGGCUUCACGCAUGCUACAAUGGCCGGUACAAUGGGCUGCGAUACCGUAAGGUGGAGCGAAUCCCAAAAAGCCGGUCUCAGUUCGGAUUGAGGUCUGCAACUCGACCUCAUGAAGUCGGAGUCGCUAGUAAUCGCAGAUCAGCAACGCUGCGGUGAAUACGUUCCCGGGCCUUGUACACACCGCCCGUCAAGUCAUGAAAGUCGGUAACACCCGAAGCCGGUGGCCUAACCCUUGUGGAGGGAGCCGUCGAAGGUGGGAUCGGUAAUUAGGACUAAGUCGUAACAAGGUAGCCGUACCGGAAGGUGC